Molecule: ribosomal RNA, 483 nt
Filed under: uncultured bacterium
Lineage: Bacteria
Description: partial 16S ribosomal RNA
Rfam family: Bacterial small subunit ribosomal RNA
Source: RNAcentral
AUUGAACGCUGGCGGCAGGCCUAACACAUGCAAGUCGAGCGGAUGAAGGGAGCUUGCUCCUGGAUUCAGCGGCGGACGGGUGAGUAAUGCCUAGGAAUCUGCCUGGUAGUGGGGGAUAACGUCCGGAAACGGGCGCUAAUACCGCAUACGUCCUGAGGGAGAAAGUGGGGGAUCUUCGGACCUCACGCUAUCAGAUGAGCCUAGGUCGGAUUAGCUAGUUGGUGGGGUAAAGGCCUACCAAGGCGACGAUCCGUAACUGGUCUGAGAGGAUGAUCAGUCACACUGAACUGAGACACGGUCCAGACUCCUACGGGAGGCAGCAGUGGGGAAUAUUGGACAAUGGGCGAAAGCCUGAUCCAGCCAUGCCGCGUGUGUGAAGAAGGUCUUCGGAUUGUAAAGCACUUUAAGUUGGGAGGAAGGGCAGUAAGUUAAUACCUUGCUGUUUUGACGUUACCAACAGAAUAAGCACCGGCUAACUUCGCG